GACGAACGCUGGCGGCGUGCUUAACACAUGCAAGUCGAACGGAAAGGCCCCCACUUUUUUGGUGGGGGUGCUCGAGUGGCGAACGGGUGAGUAACACGUGGGUGAUCUGCCCUGUACUUCGGGAUAAGCUUGGGAAACUGGGUCUAAUACCGGAUAGGACCAUGGUUUAGUGUCUCAUGGUGGAAAAAUUAUUGUUUUGGUGCAGGAUGAGCUCGCGGCCUAUCAGCUUGUUGGUGGGGUAAUGGCCUACCAAGGCGUCGACGGGUAGCCGGCCUGAGAGGGUGGACGGCCGCGUUGGGACUGAGAUACGGCCCAGGCGCCUACGGGAGGCAGCAGUGGGGAAUAUUGCACAAUGGGCGCAAGCCUGAGGCAGCGACGCCGCGUGGGGGAUGACGGCCUUCGGGUUGUAAACUCCUUUCGUUAGGGACGAAGCCGCACCUUUUUUGGGUGUGGUGACGGUACCUUUGUUAAGAAGCACCGGCUAACUACGUG
This 492-nucleotide ribosomal RNA is filed under the name uncultured bacterium. RNAcentral's name for it is "partial 16S ribosomal RNA". It matches the Rfam family "Bacterial small subunit ribosomal RNA", at positions 28 to 507 of the family's 1533-position model. The record is from RNAcentral.